GACGUAGGGCGCGAGCGUUGUCCGGAUUUAUUGGGCGUAAAGAGCUCGUAGGCGGCUUGUCGCGUCGACUGUGAAAACCCGUGGCUCAACCAUGUGGUCUGCAGUCGAUACGGGCAGGCUAGAAUUCGGUAGGGGAGACUGGAAUUCCUGGUGUAGCGGUGAAAUGCGCAGAUAUCAGGAGGAACACCGGUGGCGAAGGCGGGUCUCUGGGCAGUAACUGACGCUGAGGAGCGAAAGCGUGGGGAGCGAACAGG
This 254-nucleotide ribosomal RNA is filed under the name uncultured bacterium. RNAcentral describes it as "partial 16S ribosomal RNA". It matches the Rfam family "Bacterial small subunit ribosomal RNA", at positions 524 to 776 of the family's 1533-position model. The record is from RNAcentral.